AAAUAACAUAAAAAUAAAAAUGGUAGGUAACAGCACUCUAAGGACUUCAAAAAGUACUUUUUGAAGUCCUUAGAGUGCUGUUACCUACCAUUUUUAU
Pelobates cultripes (western spadefoot toad) is the source of this 97-nucleotide non-coding RNA. Lineage: Eukaryota; Metazoa; Chordata; Amphibia; Anura; Pelobatidae. The record is from the annotation of a GenBank genome assembly.